UUGACAUUUUUCGGCUAAAUGAGUGUUCGUCUGUUCAUUCAUUUUGGCGUAUAAAUUUUCGUUGUUAUGUUUUUUAAUUUAUUGAGACUUAGUGACUUUGAAAGAUUCUAUUAAUAUAGCUUUAGUUUUUUCUUUAUUCAACAUUAUAUUUUUCGGAAUUUUAAAAUUUGUAAAAUUAAUUAUUUUAAAUUACAUUUAAUAUUUACUUUCUAAGUUUUAGAAAUUUAUUAAUUCGGAAUGUUGUUAGUCUGACUAGUUGACUGC
Cotesia glomerata is the source of this 264-nucleotide long non-coding RNA. RefSeq lists it as uncharacterized. Lineage: Eukaryota; Metazoa; Arthropoda; Insecta; Hymenoptera; Braconidae. The record is from RefSeq and is a predicted model, not a curated record. The transcript is spliced from 3 exons.